UACGGAGGAUCCAAGCGUUAUCCGGAUUUAUUGGGUUUAAAGGGUGCGUAGGUGGUUUUUUAAGUCAGGGGUGAAAGACGGCAGCUUAACUGUCGCAGUGCCUUUGAUACUGAAGAACUUGAAUACACUACAGGUAGGCGGAAUGUGACAAGUAGCGGUGAAAUGCUUAGAUAUGACACAGAACACCGAUUGCGAAGGCAGCUCACAAAACUGUAACUGACGCUGAGGCACGAAAGCGUGGGGAUCAAACAGG
RNAcentral lists this ribosomal RNA (253 nucleotides) under uncultured bacterium. RNAcentral describes it as "partial 16S ribosomal RNA". It matches the Rfam family "Bacterial small subunit ribosomal RNA", at positions 524 to 776 of the family's 1533-position model. The record is from RNAcentral.